RNAcentral lists this ribosomal RNA (268 nucleotides) under uncultured bacterium. Its description in RNAcentral is "partial 16S ribosomal RNA". It matches the Rfam family "Bacterial small subunit ribosomal RNA", at positions 88 to 354 of the family's 1533-position model. The record is from RNAcentral.
AUGGCGACCGGCGCACGGGUGAGUAACGCGUAUCCAACCUGCCCUUUACUAUGGGACAGCCCGUCGAAAGGCGGAUUAAUACCGUAUGUUGUCAUGUUGAUGCAUAUUUUCAUGACCAAAGGCUUCGGCCGGUAAAGGAUGGGGAUGCGUCUGAUUAGCUUGCCGGCGGGGUAACGGCCCACCGGGGCGACGAUCAGUAGGGGUUCUGAGAGGAGGGUCCCCCACAUUGGAACUGAGACACGGUCCAAACUCCUACGGGAGGCAGCAG